UACGUAGGGGGCAAGCGUUGUCCGGAUUUAUUGGGCGUAAAGAGCGUGUAGGCGGCUUUACAGGUCCGUUGUGAAAACCCGAGGCUCAACCUCGGGACGUCGGCGGAAACCAUCUGGCUAGAGUCCGGAAGAGGAGAGUGGAAUUCCCGGUGUAGCGGUGAAAUGCGCAGAUAUCGGGAAGAACACCCGUGGCGAAGGCGGCUCUCUGGGACGGUACUGACGCUGAGACGCGAAAGCGUGGGGAGCGAACAGG
This 253-nucleotide ribosomal RNA is filed under the name uncultured bacterium. RNAcentral's name for it is "partial 16S ribosomal RNA". It matches the Rfam family "Bacterial small subunit ribosomal RNA", at positions 524 to 776 of the family's 1533-position model. The record is from RNAcentral.